GGUAGUCCACGCUGUAAACGGUGGGUACUAGGUGUGGGGAGUACUGACCCUCUCUGUGCCGAAGCUAACGCGUUAAGUACCCCGCCUGGGGACUACGGCCGCAAGGCUAAAACUCAAAGGAAUUGACGGGUCUCCGCACAAGCAGCGGAGCGUGUGGUUCAAUUCGAAGAUACACGAAGAACCUUACCUGGGCUUGACAUGUAGGUAGUAGUGAAGCGAAAGCGGAACGAUCCUUCGGGAAGCCUGCACAGGUGCUGCAUGGCUGUCGUCAGCUCGUGCCGUGAGGUGUUGGGUUAAGUCCUGUAACGAGCGCAACCCCUACUGUCAGUUACAAGUGUCUGGCGGAACUGCCGGUGACAAACCGGAGGAAGGUGGGGAUGACGUCAAGUCAGCAUGGCCUUUAUGUCCAGGGCUACACACACGCUACAAUGGCCGGUACAAUGGGUUGCCAAACCGCGAGGUGGAGCUAAUCCUGAAAGCCGGUCUCAGUUCGGAUUGCAGGCUGCAACCCGCCUGCAUGAAGUUGGAGUUGCUAGUAAACGCGCGUCAGCUAUAGUGCGUUGAAUACGUUCCCGGAGAUUGUACACACCGCCCGUCACGUCAUGGGAGUCGGUAACACCUGAAGUCGGUGGGCUAACCGCAAGGAGGCAGCUGUCGAAGGUGGGGCCGGCGACUGGGACGAAGUCGUAACAAGGUAACCGUA
Molecule: ribosomal RNA, 703 nt
Filed under: uncultured Chloroflexota bacterium
Lineage: Bacteria; Bacillati; Chloroflexota
Description: bacterial SSU rRNA
Rfam family: Bacterial small subunit ribosomal RNA
Source: RNAcentral